Molecule: long non-coding RNA, 229 nt
Organism: Bufo bufo (common toad)
Lineage: Eukaryota; Metazoa; Chordata; Amphibia; Anura; Bufonidae
Exons: 3
Source: RefSeq, a predicted model, not a curated record
CCUUAAUCAGUAUUUUGCAGAUGCAGGUAUAUCGCACUUCUCAAUCAUUAUUUUGUGGAAGCAGGUAUAUUGAACCCCUUAAUCAGUAUUUUGUAAAAGCAGGUAAAUAGAACCUCUGAAUCAAUAUAUGCUGGAAUCAGGUAUAUCAAACCCCUUAAUCAAUAUUUUGUGGAAGCAGGUAUAUCAAACCCCUCAAUCAGUUUUUUGGGGGGCAACAGGUAUAUCACAC